AAGAGGGAACCCGGUGGGAAUCCGGGACUGCCCCGCAGCGGUGAGCGGGAACGACCGCCGUCAUACGCACUGGGCCCGACGUACCGGGCCCGGGAAGCGACGGCCAGUAGGUGUCCUCCGGACAGGAGGGUGGGCCCGCGAGUCCGAAGACCU
This 153-nucleotide non-coding RNA is filed under the name Streptomyces coelicolor. The record is from RNAcentral. Lineage: Bacteria; Bacillati; Actinomycetota; Actinomycetes; Kitasatosporales; Streptomycetaceae.